Molecule: non-coding RNA, 330 nt
Filed under: Bacillus gaemokensis
Lineage: Bacteria; Bacillati; Bacillota; Bacilli; Caryophanales; Bacillaceae
Description: bacterial SSU rRNA
Rfam family: Bacterial small subunit ribosomal RNA
Source: RNAcentral
AGCCAUGCCGCGUGUGUGAAGAAGGUCUUCGGAUUGUAAAGCACUUUAAGUUGGGAGGAAGGGCAGUUACCUAAUACGUGAUUGUUUUGACGUUACCGACAGAAUAAGCACCGGCUAACUCUGUGCCAGCAGCCGCGGUAAUACAGAGGGUGCAAGCGUUAAUCGGAAUUACUGGGCGUAAAGCGCGCGUAGGUGGUUAGUUAAGUUGGAUGUGAAAUCCCCGGGCUCAACCUGGGAACUGCAUUCAAAACUGACUGACUAGAGUAUGGUAGAGGGUGGUGGAAUUUCCUGUGUAGCGGUGAAAUGCGUAGAUAUAGGAAGGAACACCAG